UACGUAGGGUGCAAGCGUUGUCCGGAAUUAUUGGGCGUAAAGAGCUCGUAGGCGGUCUGUCACGUCGGAUGUGAAAAUCCAGGGCUCAACCCUGGACCUGCAUUCGAUACGGGCAGACUAGAAUUCGGUAGGGGAGACUGGAAUUCCUGGUGUAGCGGUGAAAUGCGCAGAUAUCAGGAGGAACACCGGUGGCGAAGGCGGGUCUCUGGGCCGAUAUUGACGCUGAGACGCGAAAGCGUGGGGAGCGAACAGG
RNAcentral lists this ribosomal RNA (253 nucleotides) under uncultured bacterium. Its description in RNAcentral is "partial 16S ribosomal RNA". It matches the Rfam family "Bacterial small subunit ribosomal RNA", at positions 524 to 776 of the family's 1533-position model. The record is from RNAcentral.